AGAGUUUGAUCCUGGCUCAGGAUGAACGCUGGCGGCGUGCUUAACACAUGCAAGUCGAACGAUGAAGCCCAGCUUGCUGGGUGGAUUAGUGGCGAACGGGUGAGUAACACGUGAGUAACCUGCCCUUAACUCUGGGAUAAGCCUGGGAAACUGGGUCUAAUACCGGAUAGGAGCGCCUACCGCAUGGUGGGUGUUGGAAAGAUUUAUCGGUUUUGGAUGGACUCGCGGCCUAUCAGCUUGUUGGUGAGGUAAUGGCUCACCAAGGCGACGACGGGUAGCCGGCCUGAGAGGGUGACCGGCCACACUGGGACUGAGACACGGCCCAGACUCCUACGGGAGGCAGCAGUGGGGAAUAUUGCACAAUGGGCGCAAGCCUGAUGCAGCGACGCCGCGUGAGGGAUGACGGCCUUCGGGUUGUAAACCUCUUUCAGUAGGGAAGAAGCGAAAGUGACGGUACCUGCAGAAGAAGCACCGGCUAACUACGUGCCAGCAGCCGCGGUAAUACGUAGGGUGCGAGCGUUAUCCGGAAUUAUUGGGCGUAAAGAGCUCGUAGGCGGUUUGUCGCGUCUGUCGUGAAAGUCCGGGGCUUAACCCCGGAUCUGCGGUGGGUACGGGCAGACUAGAGUGCAGUAGGGGAGACUGGAAUUCCUGGUGUAGCGGUGGAAUGCGCAGAUAUCAGGAGGAACACCGAUGGCGAAGGCAGGUCUCUGGGCUGUAACUGACGCUGAGGAGCGAAAGCAUGGGGAGCGAACAGGAUUAGAUACCCUGGUAGUCCAUGCCGUAAACGUUGGGCACUAGGUGUGGGGACCAUUCCACGGUUUCCGCGCCGCAGCUAACGCAUUAAGUGCCCCGCCUGGGGAGUACGGCCGCAAGGCUAAAACUCAAAGGAAUUGACGGGGGCCCGCACAAGCGGCGGAGCAUGCGGAUUAAUUCGAUGCAACGCGAAGAACCUUACCAAGGCUUGACAUGUUCUCGAUCGCCGUAGAGAUACGGUUUCCCCUU
This 1002-nucleotide ribosomal RNA is filed under the name Micrococcus luteus. Its description in RNAcentral is "bacterial SSU rRNA". It matches the Rfam family "Bacterial small subunit ribosomal RNA", at positions 8 to 1020 of the family's 1533-position model. Lineage: Bacteria; Bacillati; Actinomycetota; Actinomycetes; Micrococcales; Micrococcaceae. The record is from RNAcentral.